AAUCACUGACCUUACCGUGGUUCCUACUUACGUGGGACCUUCGGGUAUUGUCAGCUCUUCUGAGUUGACGGGCGGUGAGUACAAAGCCCGAGAACGUAUUCACCGCAGCGUGGCUGAUCUGCGGUUACUAGCGAUUCCAGCUUCAUGGAGGCGAGUUGCAGCCUCCAAUCCGAACUGAGACUGGGUUUGUAGAUUAGCUCCCCCUCGCGGGUUUGCAUAGCUCAUUGUCCCAGCCAUUGUAGCGCGUGUGUCGCCCAGGGCGUCAGAGGACCACGCUGAUUUGACGUCAUCCCCACCUUCCUCCGUGUUAACCACGGCAGUCUCGGGUGAAAAGUAACACCCAAUAAGGGUUGCGCUCGUUACCCCACUGAAGGGAACACUUCACAGCACGAGCUGGCGACAACCGUGCAGCACCUGUCUAGCACCCUCGAAGGCUACCAAUGUUUCUANAGGUAUGCAGCUAGAUUUC
This 469-nucleotide ribosomal RNA is filed under the name uncultured soil bacterium. RNAcentral describes it as "partial 16S ribosomal RNA". The record is from RNAcentral.